UACGUAGGGAGCAAGCGUUGUCCGGAAUCAUUGGGCGUAAAGCGCGCGUAGGUGGCCCCAUAAGUCCGCUGUGAAAGUCAAAGGCUCAACCUUUGAAAGCCGGUGGAUACUGUGGGACUAGAGUACGGAAGAGGCGAGUGGAAUUCCUGGUGUAGCGGUGAAAUGCGCAGAUAUCAGGAGGAACACCAAUUGCGAAGGCAGAUCGCUGGAACGUAACUGACGCUGAGACGCGAAGGCGUGGGGAGCAAACAGG
This 253-nucleotide ribosomal RNA is filed under the name uncultured bacterium. RNAcentral's name for it is "partial 16S ribosomal RNA". It matches the Rfam family "Bacterial small subunit ribosomal RNA", at positions 524 to 776 of the family's 1533-position model. The record is from RNAcentral.